This is a long non-coding RNA of Talpa occidentalis (Iberian mole), 780 nucleotides long. RefSeq lists it as uncharacterized. The record is from RefSeq and is a predicted model, not a curated record. The transcript has 3 exons. Lineage: Eukaryota; Metazoa; Chordata; Mammalia; Eulipotyphla; Talpidae.
GCACAGCUGGAAGGGAGUGAACUGGAGCUCCAGGUUCAGGCAGCUCUCUGUAGGGAGAGCACAGGUGGAUGGAUCUGGCGACUAGAGGUCCUCCCCUGCCCUCCCCACUCCUCUUUUCCAGGCCACACUCACGGGCAAUGGAGUCAAGGUUGUACUCAGAGCCAGGCUCGUAGUCACAGUAAAUGUUGAGGAAGGGGCUGCCCUUGUCCCCUGAAUCCUGGGGAAGGAAAGUGGCCUCAGGGGAGAGGAGGGGCUGCCAAAGGGAUCUGGGUGGCACCAUGUGCAUGAAGAGAGCAGGGAACAGGGAUAAAGGCAGAACAAAAUACGUGCAUGCACCUAGAAUCCCAGAAGGCAGUGACUGGAUCUCCCUUGGUCAGAUACCCAGCACCUGGACCAUGAGGCCUGACAUAAAGCAAACAUUUAGCAUUGGUAAUCCGUUUCAGGUCUUUGGAGUCUUAACCAAGCUCUCAGCACAAUUGACUAGGCUGUGGAAGGAGCCGAAGGAGACAGAAGAGCAGGUCACGGAGUCCUAUGUGGUCACUUUCUACCUGAAGAACCAGAACUUUUCAAAUCCCUGGCUCUAGGCUGGGACAUGCCUCAAGGAGCCACCCCUCCUCUGCAUCACUGGCCAUCUACUUCCUGAUACUGCCUGCCUUAGGUGCUGAGCCUUCUUCAGCCCUGUGCCCCCCUCCAGCACCCAUCAGUCCAUUCACCUGCAAUACAGAUCUACAGGGUGGACCAUGGAAUGGUGGGUGGUUCUUGCCUGCCUUUUCUGGAGAA